CUGCAGCCCGACUUGAGCGGAAAUCCUUUUUUUGGGAUGGAUUAGCCAAGGCAAAAAAGAUUGGGAGCGGAAGGCAUAAAUGAGA
Molecule: small RNA, 85 nt
Filed under: Soonwooa buanensis
Lineage: Bacteria; Pseudomonadati; Bacteroidota; Flavobacteriia; Flavobacteriales; Weeksellaceae
Description: Flavo-1 RNA
Source: RNAcentral